CGGAAUAGAGGCAAAACAGAGCCAACAGCGAAUCAAACAACAUCCUGUUGCGGAAACUCAGGGACUGGGAACACAAGCGCAGGACACGGACAGGUGUUGCGGGCAAGGUGGACUUUAUUGUCAGUUUCACACAAGAGUUGGGGAAAGUGGCGGUGGCAAGGCAAAACGGCGGAUGCCGAGGGUUGGCGAGGCGGAGACCGGAGGCGAACAGGAAAGGCGGUUGCGUGGCUGGCGAUGAGAUCCGCUAUGGGUGAACAACAAUCUGGCGACGAAUGACUGGAGAAGAUAUACUGCAGGAUGGUGAGCUGAUGAAAGGCAGGUGUGUCUGGUCAAAUGAUGAGUGAUGAGCUGAUUGCCAACAGGUGCGUAAGCCCAAGGAGCCAGAGGAGGUAGACAUGACGAAACACACGCGCGCACACACACAGGGAAGGGAUAACACCAGGGACCUGGCCAAGGCCGUAACACAUCCUUAACAACAACAAUAUAGAACAUCUAAAACACAUCAGAACUGAUAAAGUAACAGCAUGUCUGAACAGUCACACUUACACACACAAAACACACAGAUAGAGAGGCCCAAUCUCAAAGCCCCCCUAAACCUUAAGCCCUGAACUCUCACAGACUUAACUGACAUCGUGAUUGAGUGUAAGAGGCUGCAAGGUCCCAAAGUGCUAUAAAUAGGAAUGGGACAGCAUGUUUCCACAUUAUCACGUAACCUUGACUACACUGAAACCCUGCUCCUCGUGCUCUGUUGGCGGAUCGAUCGACACCAGCCCCGUCGGUGGUCCGGCCUACCCCUGCUCCUCGUGCCUUGUUGGCGGAUCGAUCGACACCAGCCCCGUUGGUGGUCCGGCCAACCCCUGCUCCUCGCACCAAGGCCCUCAGCCCAGCAGCCCCGUCCCUGACUCCCCCUGCUGCUGUCGUCGUCACGCCCUGUUCCCCGGCCUCUGGAGGGGUCGUCACGCCCCGUUCCCCCCCAGUCCGCCCUCAGGCCGCACCCCUGAACUCCCUAGCUCCCCUGGUCUGCCCGAACCCUCUGGUCCCUUUGCUCCGCCCCAGGGACGUCCGCCCAAACCCUCUGGUCCCUUUGCUCCGCCCCCGGGGACGUCGCCCAAACCCUCUGGUCCCUCCGCUUUUCCCUUGGGACGUCCGCCCGAACCCUCUGGUCCCUUUGCUCUGCCCUCAGGACGUCCGCCUGAACUCCCUGGUCCCCCAGCUCCGCCCUCUGGCACCCCAUCUGAACUCCCUGGUCCCCCAGCUCUGCCCUCUGGCACCCAGUCUGGCCCUAUUUCCUCAGUCCAGCCCUGCCCACUCGCCUGACCCUUCCCAACCCUGAAACCCUCUCUGAAGUCCCUGUGUUUUGUUUUGGACCCUGGAACCCCACCAGCCGGGCCCCAGUGGAAUUUCCUCCCCCCGACGUACUUUUGCCAUGCCCCGCCUAGUCGACUGGGAGGGCCGCCUGGAGGCGUCCGUUGAGGAGGGGGCCCUGUUGUGGUGGCAGCCCGGCUGACGGUUCACUCACCCUCGUCCUCCGUUCAGUCGGCUGGGCUCAUCCUCCG
Micropterus dolomieu (smallmouth bass) is the source of this 1556-nucleotide RNA transcript. It is a transcript of the gene named vegetative cell wall protein gp1-like, with no coding region annotated. The record is from RefSeq and is a predicted model, not a curated record. The transcript is spliced from 3 exons. NCBI's taxonomy places the organism in Eukaryota, Metazoa, Chordata, Actinopteri, Centrarchiformes, Centrarchidae.